GACGAACGCUGGCGGCGUGCUUAACACAUGCAAGUCGAACGGAAAGGCCCUGCUUUUGUUGGGUGCUCGAGUGGCGAACGGGUGAGUAACACGUGAGUAACCUGCCCUUUACUUUGGGAUAACUUCAGGAAACUGGGGCUAAUACCGGAUAGGAGCUCCUGCUGCAUGGUGGGGGUUGGAACGUUUCGGCGGUUGGGGAUGGACUCGCGGCUUAUCAGCUUGUUGGUGGGGUAGUGGCUUACCAAGGCUUUGACGGGUAGCCGGCCUGAGAGGGUGACCGGCCACAUUGGGACUGAGAUACGGCCCAGACUCCAACGGGGGGCAGCAGUGGGGAAUAUUGCACAAUGGGCGGAAGCCUGAGGCAGCAACGCCGCGGGCGGGAUGACGGCCUUCGGGUUGUAAACCGCUUUCGCCUGUGACGAAGCGUGAGUGACGGUAAUGGGUAAAGAAGCACCGGCUAACUACGUG
Molecule: ribosomal RNA, 468 nt
Filed under: uncultured bacterium
Lineage: Bacteria
Description: partial 16S ribosomal RNA
Rfam family: Bacterial small subunit ribosomal RNA
Source: RNAcentral